RNAcentral lists this long non-coding RNA (403 nucleotides) under Theobroma cacao (cacao). RNAcentral's name for it is "long non-coding RNA (TCAC_LNC005647)". Lineage: Eukaryota; Viridiplantae; Streptophyta; Magnoliopsida; Malvales; Malvaceae. The record is from RNAcentral.
UUUAAAUGGCCUAAUCUAUAAUGCCAUAAAUAAGAAAAUUCAACCAUAUAAGCAAAACAACAGUCUUAUUCUUAUUAUUAUUAAUAACAUUUAGUUUGAACAUUCCCUUACGCAUGUAACCUUCCCCGACAAAUAUUCUUUUUUUGGACAGAAUGAAUUUAUUUGCCUCAAAUACAAGUUUGAAACCAAACUUAUUCAAUAGUGUCACGACCCAGAACUUCUAUCGGGCCGGUGACAACCGUCGCGACAUCUCGAUAGGCACUCAUUACCCCGAAUGCCGAUCGAAAUCCCGCAAGGCUUAGCAUCAGCUUCCGCAUCUCCCCGGUGAGCGACUGUUAUUAAAUCACGCAUUUCAAGAAAUUAUAAGUCGUUUUCAAAUCAAAAUAAUAAAAUAUUAUUUUCU